UACGGAGGGUGCGAGCGUUGUCCGGAAUCAUUGGGCGUAAAGGGCGCGUAGGUGGCGGGACAAGCGUGCGGUGAAAGCUCGGGGCUCAACCCCGAGUCGGCCGUGCGAACUGUUUUGCUUGAGCACUGUAGAGGCAGACGGAAUUCCGGGUGUAGCGGUGGAAUGCGUAGAGAUCCGGAAGAACACCGGUGGCGAAGGCGGCCUGCUGGGCAGUAGCUGACACUGAGGUGCGAAAGCGUGGGGAGCAAACAGG
RNAcentral lists this ribosomal RNA (253 nucleotides) under uncultured bacterium. RNAcentral's name for it is "partial 16S ribosomal RNA". It matches the Rfam family "Bacterial small subunit ribosomal RNA", at positions 524 to 776 of the family's 1533-position model. The record is from RNAcentral.